CUUGAUCUUACACGUAUGCACUCGAAUCGGGACGGAUGGACUUGAUUUGAGAUACCAAAUGGUAAGAUGAUUUUUUACGAUUCUUUUACGAUUAUAAAUUAUAAAUGUAGACAGUCCAUCGUGAAGCCACGCCUCUAAAAGUCUGCUUGAAAACAUUAUAAUAUAAUUAGUAAUAUAAUUGUCUAUAAUAGUUAUUGCUUCGUUAAACAUGUUAUUUUUUUUAAAUAUAAAUUGGCGUAUGAAAAUCGUGUUUUUUAAACAUCAAAUCAGCAGAUUUUGAUUGUAAAUUACAUUCUAGAUUUUCUAGUUUCACUUUCGAUUGAUCAAUUUUCCAGAAAUUUGUUUAAAAAUACGACUACCAACAGGCUUUUUCAAGUAAAUAUAUAUUGGAUAUAAACUUUAUUUCUAGUUAUGUAAUACACAUUAUUGUUUACACAAACACAAAAAUAACUCUUAACGUGACAUUUUAAUCUGCUGAGAAGGGGGGGGGGGGAGGGGGGGGGGGGUAUAUAAAAAAAAAAAACAACAAAAAAAGAAUGAACCCAAAUGCGCGCUGACCUUUGGGUCCAUUUAAUAAAAUUUGCUGACUCAACGUAUUGAUCAGCUAUGUACAACACCUCUCAUUUAAUAACGGAAAAGUCAUAUUAUCAUUCACGUCCUUCUAAAUUUUCGUAAAUUACCAUCCUAUAAUUGGAAAAUAGUUCGGAAGAAAACACGAAAUCUACAAAUGCCUAUAAUUUUCGCACGUUUUUUUUUACUAAUAAAUAUUGAAGAAUUAUUGAGGUCGAGAUUUUUGUUGUUGAAAAUUAUGAAAAUACAAUAAUGAAAGGAUUCCUUAUUAAAUAUUAUUGAUGUAAGUUUUAGAUGUUUUGAGUCUUAACUUCGCUCCCUUUUUUCCAGCCCUUCAUCUACUAUUUUUGUGUCAAACUUAAAUGUUUUCUUUAUCCCAAACUGAUUUUCAAAGUUCUCUUAGACAUAGCUGUAAUAAAUUUGUUAAAAUCCUAUUAAAAUAAUACUUUAGGAGAAGCAUCUGUAUAUAUGUCCUCAAUUAUAAUUUUCUAAUACUUUGCAAAAAUAGAGAUUUUACUAUGGUUUUUUUUCGAAAUAAAUGAUAAAAAGUAUUAUAAAUCACCGUGCUAUUACUUAAUUUAUAACAAGAAAAAAUCCAUAAAUAUUAUAUCGCACAUCAGCUAAAGAAUCAUCGCACUUCGGCGUAGACAAUCGCUCUUCAGCGUCCCAAUCGCCUCUCCGAUUCCUACAUGUAUGCACAAUUCCAUUUUCAAAAAGGUAUGAAAUACCCAUCAAAAGGAGAAGGCGGUGUUCAAAUGGAUUUAAAAUUCUGUUAUUUUGUAUACAUAAGGAAUUGUGUCAGGGGGUUCGUGUACGGUCCAAAUAUUGAUAUGGGUAUGUCAAUAUUCAAUACAGAAUCGUGACAGAUUUACGAAACAUGGCUCCAGUACCCUCUUAUGGAGCUUUAUCUAUGAUUAAUGCAUUCCAAACUUUAGCUUGGCAGGGGGUAUCGAUAUUUCAAAAUCAUGAAUCGGGCCUGGAUUCCUAUUCCGUCUCUAUGUUUGCGCAAGACUUAGUUCUGGUAUUCCGUUUCAUCUUCCUUUCUUAGGAGCACCACCAUGGGUUAUGGAGGACAGUCAGCACUAGGUAUAGGUACAGAUUUGAUAUGAACAUAAUUAUGCCGACACAGUGACAGCCUGGCUGUGGCGAGUCAUACUACCAGUAAGUGAACCUACCCCAAAACAGUGAGUUCCAUGCAAUGAAACAUACGAACACACAUUCACAUGAUUCGCUCAUCCACAAAAUAUGAAAAAUGCAAUAUAUAAAAACAAUUAAAUACAAAUUAAUUUCAUUAGAUGUAUGUUUCAUCAUGAGACUGUUAUUUUGAUUGGUUAACAUCAAUUUUGCGUCCUUCUGAAAUUAACAUUCAGCAAGCUAUAAAGGGCCCCUAAAAUGACUUAUGUUAAAACAUUCAAACGGUAACAUCAACGGUAUCAUCUGUAUAGAAAACGAGAAACGAGAAACAUUAUGAACCACAGCAACAAACAACAACUACUGAAUAUCAGAUUCCUUUCUUAAGACUCUGAAACAAUUGUAUAACAUCACAACCUAGAAAGACACACUUUAAACAGUUAAAAUAUCAAUUGAAAUUGCUUAACUAAAUCAAAAGAAAUAUUAACACGUUCAAGUGAACAUACAAUGAACAAAUAAAUUUGAUCUAUGUUACAAUGUAAAAACAAAAUCAAUUAAAAAAGGGAUGAAAAAUAAAGGUAACAGCAGUAUACUGCUGUGCGAUAUUAAACAAUUAAAAAACCCAACAUUAACCUUGAACAAAAAGCCAAAUUAACAAAGAUCUACACUGGUUAAAGAUAAAAAAAUAAAUAAUUAUUUCAUAGAACGAAGAAUUGAAAAUUUAUUGUCAUCACGUUUUUGCGCCAAUGCUAUUUCUGCGCCACAACUUAUUUGUGCCAAUGAUACUUCUGCGCAACAACUUAUUUGAGCCUAUGCUACUUCUGCGCCACAACUUAUUUGUGCUAAUGCUACUUCUACGCCACAACUUAUUUGUGCCAAUGCUACUUCUGCGCCACAACUUAUUUGUGCUAAUGAUACUUCUGCGCCACAACUUAUUUGUGCCAAUGCUUCUUCUGCGCCACAACUUAUUUGUGCCAAUGCUACUUCUGCGCGACAACUUUUUGUGCCAAUGAAACUUCUGCGCCCCAACUUAUUUGUGCCAAUGCUACUUCUGCGCCACUUCAUUAAAAAAAACUAUAGGUUUAGUUAAAACAUAUUUGUUUAUAGCGGAUUUGAUUUUUUUUUUAUUGCAACUUAUAUUUAUCUCUUUCCACUUGGCGCCAAUUGAAAAAAAAUCAUCCUAUUACGCAUGAAUUUAUCUAUCUUAACAAAUCAUUUUUACAGAAAACAAAGUCAUCAUUUUUUUUAUGUUUUAAGAAUUCCGUGAAAUGCGGCUUGUUUGUUUUGUGUUCAGAUUGUUGCAGUUUCUUUUUUUCAAUUUUGAAGAGCUCAGGAGUAUUCCCCAUUCAAAAUAAAAGAUUCCUCAGUAAAUAGCUUGGCACACUACGACUUAACUGUUAGACAGUACAUCUCCAUAUACAUUUGUAAUUUCUCUAUCUUAUUUAACAACUAUUUAUUUAGUUAUAAUCCAGUACUUUUGAAUGCAAAUCAUGUUAAAUUUGAAGUUAUAUUGAUAGGAACUUGGUACUUACAAAGGAACAAACUUUUAUAACGUUAUAUAACUGUCUGUACAUCUCAGUUUGUCGACCAUUUUCUGUCUCUGCCAAACGACCAUUGAACUGUUACUGAAUUAAUAACAUUGUUGCUGUCCAUCAUCAGAUUGUCUUUUUCUUAAUCUUUUGUUGACAGGCGUGAAUUUCUCAGUGUCAAUACUUUAUUUAACCUGUAAACUGACAAUUAAAAACAGUUUGUUAUAGAUCAGAUCAGUACAGAUGUAUUGACUACUGGGCGGAGGACUGAUAGUUCACCUGCAGCGAUAUCAACCUUCUGCUGUUAUAAAUUAAAACAUAUAUAAAAAAGAAGUAAAAGGCAUACUUCCACAGCGCUCUUCUAUAUUUAUCUUCAUUAAUGACACUCCAAUCCGAAUAUUUGAAAGCCAAUGAUUUAUUAGAACAGCUGAAAAGCUAUAUGACCAACAAACAGCAACUACACAAAGUCAUAAUAGCCAAACCCAUCUGAGGUACACUUUGUCCGAGGGAGUUGAAACCUCAUCUACGAAAGAUGUGUUUAUGAUGACAGCAUCGAAGUACUGAUUACUGAGAUGAUGAUAUCCUCGAAAACUGUUAGUUAAUUAGCAGCGGGAUCGACCCAGUGCUGUUAAAAAUGGGGAAAAGGUUUUGAAACGUUCUGUAAACUGUUGUUAUUACUAUAUGGACUAUGAUUUGAAUAGUAUCAUCAAAGACGUUUGCAUUGGAUAUAUAUUUCCCUAGUCAAGAAAAAUUCACCUUCUACAAACAAAAGAAACACUUUGGCAUUAAGACCUGAAUUCAUUAAUUAUUAACUCUUUAAAUGGAAUAUUUAUAGAUUAAAUCAAAUUAAUAUUUUAAAUAGCCUGUCAUUUAUAUCUAUACACAUAAAAAAAAGUAUUGCAACACCUUGAUUUUUGAAAACUUGAAAAAUCAGCCUCUUAUUUUGGAUGGAAUAUGAUAAAAUAUUUGUAAAAUAAUAUUGAAACCUAGUUUAUGUUAACAAUAGCAUUAAAAAGAACAAAAAAUGUUUGAAAAAAAAAAUGAAUUAUCUAACCACAAUUUUAAUAACAAAAUGAAGUGUUUUUUGUACAAAAAAAUCCAUUUUACAACUUUUACUGUAGUCGGAUUUCACAAUGUCUGACAUUUCAAAAUAAAUCUUAAGAUGAUUGUUCACAUUAUGGUUGAUCGUUAUACGCCAAAGAAUUAGUACUUUGUGCGCAGCCUCAAUUCAAACGGAUAACCGCCUCUUGACGUCUUCUGAUUCCUGCCAUGAAUCGACUAAUUUGUUGCUAAGGUAGCAGUAACCAAUUCUGAUGAAGGGCAUUGUUUAUUUCAUGACGUGUUUGAACUGGGGUGUCCUUCCGCACACUUUACGCCCAAUAGUGUCCCUUAGAUGCUCGAUAUGGUUCAAAUCCGGGCUACGAUCGGGCCAAGAAAGAUGAACUGAAUUCCAUUGGAACAAUGGAUCUUCCUCCACGUUGCUAAUUUCCAAUUUUGGCGAGCUCCGCACUACAUUGGAUACGGACAACUGUGUGUCUGUUCGCAAGCAAUGGUCCCCGAAAUGGUCUGAUCGCACGAUAACCAGUAUCGAUGAGUCGAUCUCGAACAGUUCUUGUUAAAAGCUUAUGUAUGCCCACCACUCUCUUUUUAGGAUUGUAUUGUAUGCAAUGGGUUUCCUUCUGACCAACCUUCAUUAUGCUUGAUUUUCCCUAGCAGAUGGUAUAGGGGGUCUUCUUGAUCUCGGAAGGUCUUUAACACCGUUUAUUGCCUGAUUUUUAUUCUCAAAACGACUUAUAGUGGAAUGGUGAUAACCAACAAUACGUGCGGUUGUCAAAGCGACAUUCCUGCUUCUCUCAUGCUGAUUAUCUGCCUUAUUUCUGCAGUUAAGACUUGUGGAGAACCCAUUACAAGGUGUCAAUCACAUAACUUUAUAAACUUGGCUGUUUAAAGUAUUGAAAACAAUGAAGAUAAAAACAUCUGUUUUGCUGUUUACCGGUACAGUAGCUGCAUGUGCAGAUAAGAACUUAUCGAGUCAAUAUUUAUUGAUUAAACUCAGGCGAUAUUUAAAUAAUGUUUAACUAGUUUUAUUUUAACAAAUUAUAUCACAAAAAAUAAAAAGUGCUUUUUUAAUUUCAAUUUCAAUUUGGUGUUGCAAUACUUUUUUCCAUGUGUAUAAAUUAUCAAAGUAAAAUCUUAAAUAAAGUUCUAAAUGUAUUGCCUAAAUAAAUAACUUUACAAAGUCCACCGCAUGUACUUUUUUUCUAAAAUGAUCAUCUUUUUCGUCAAAUACAAAUAAAAAGUCAUCAAUCAAGAAUUAUGAGGGGAAAAUAAGAAAAUAGAAAAACGAAAAGUUUCAAUAAUAAAACAAACGUGUAUUCUCUCGUUUCACACUGCACGGAGUUUGAUACGAAAAAGUGAUACGAAAAUCGGCAUUUAUUUUAUUAUCUUAUCCAGAAUCAUGAGACGAUAUUUACGGCGUUCCCAUUGGCGUUUCGUUAUGUCAUUGAUAACUUUCAAAGGUAAAGACGAUGUUUCUUUUGUCCGUUGCAAAAGAAAUAUGCGAGUUCUUCAUUAAUAAACAAAUCAGUCACACUUUUCCACAGACAAACUUUGAUACAUUCUGAAGCGUACACACAAUUUUAAAAUGUCUGACGUUAAAGUUUGACUCUAGAAAAGGAGAUAUGACGACAUACUGGCAUAUGCAAAUGUCUAGAAUUUUUAAUUCAACACAAUGACAGUGUUGACUAUUAGAGAAAUAUGUUUAACAACUUGGGAGAAAUGGAUAUUGGUUGAUAUAAAUUCUCAUAAUUAUUUAAUUUAAAUAGUAAUAACAAACGCUUCAAAGUCUCGUUUAUUAUUAUAUUGAAAUUAAAUAGCUCGAGUUGAUAUCAAGCGAUAACCGAUUCUCACUCGUUAUGAAACCUAUUUAUGUAUUAGAUAAAAUACAAAGGUAACAAAGAAACAGGCCGGUAAAAACCGUUGCCGGAUAGUUUUUCUGCACGAGUAGUCAGGUCAAGGUCCGAGGCGAUAGCCGAGGACCUUGACCUGACUACAAGUGCAGAAAAACUAUUCGGCUGGUUGUUACCGGCCUGUUUCUUUUGUUACUUUUGUUUUUUAUCUGACUUGUACGACGUUUCAAGUAAUAAUACGUGAUGCAAGACUAAACAGUUGAAAAUCUUUGAUAGCCAUAAAGCAGUAAAUGUAAGUUAUAGUAUAAACACAUUUUUUUUUCAUUUCCCUUCAACCGAGAUUUUUUUUCAAAAGAAAAAAAAUCAGGAAUCUAAUAAUUUGAUAAAAAAAAAAAGAACCAUUUCAAGUAAAAUAUAAAUGUUGUACACAUUUAAGACUUUUUAAAAUGCAACUUCGUAAAAAAGUAAUAUAUUAAGGAAUAUUUUAGUGGUAAGUAAGAUAAUGUUUGAUUUUAUGAAUAAAAACGGAAAGCGGGGAGGGGGAGGGGCUAAUUCAUUUUAAAAUACACAGGCUGUGAUCUUUAAUUGAUGAAAAAAUGCAGGAUGAGCCAUUAAAUCCCGCCAUUCCCCCUUAAAAAAAUCGUAAAAAUCGCGCGUUUGUUGCCAAAUACAUGAAUUUAAUAUAAAGUGGUGGGGGUCCCGCGGGUUGGAACAACCCUUUUUUUGAAGAUCAAUGCAUUUAAAAUUUAAAUGGGGACAUAAAGUUGGACCCCCCCCCCUCCCUGUUUUGUUCUGGAUUUAGACAUGGAUCCGCCACUGAUAUAAAUCCGAUAACAAUAUAAAGGUAUCAAAAGAAUGAAUUUCCUACUUCAUUAGUGAAUGAAAUAUUUAUGAAAAAAAAGAUUUUGUCUUAAUAUUAUUUAUACAUGUAUACAGGAAUAUACUUUGAUUUUUUUUUUUAAUUCAUGCUCGUCUCUAGAUCUGCAAGUGUUGAUCGGGAUUAAACACGUGUUACCAUAUGAUCCAAUCGCAGCUUACCGCCCAAAAUUGAUGACAAGUUGAAUGAUUUUCUUCUAGAUUUGCUGCUUAUUUGGACGUGUAUUAACAUGAACACUUUUUUUUAUAGGAUCAAUCGUGCAUUGGUGAGUUGAUAGGUAUUUUAUCUUUUGAUAUUAGAUUUGAUUUUUAUUUAUUUAUUUCCUGUCUUAUUUUUUAUUGAAAUGUUCACGUCAGUAUUAUCCUUUCUUUACUUUCAGCAUUGUCCAAAAUACUAUGCAUGUCCAUAUAUUUAAGAAAACAUUUAUUGACCGAAUAUUUUGCUUCAUAAAGGGGGCGGUAUGUUGUUCUUUUUUGAGUAUAUUAACUAUUUACUUUUCAAGGCCAUCACCCAAAUGGUUUUGUUUAAAUUAGCACCAGGGGCGGAUCCAGUCAUUUUAAAAGGGGGGUUCCAACUAUAUGUCCCCAUUCAAAUGCAUUGAUCGGCCAACAAAAAAGGGGGGUUCCAACCCCCGGAUCCGCCAAUGAGCACUAUUAACGGUAUUUGGAAAAUCAGGAAUCAUUCAAAACAUUAAUUUGUCAUCUGCUUGACCAUAAUAAUUUUUUUCGCAUAUAAUUUGGGACCAAAAUAUCUAUUUUAGGAGAAAAUAACCCCCACUAUUGAAGUUAAAUGUCUAAUCCCUUAGUGUACUGAUGUGAAUAGUAAUUAACUGGAAAUGUUUGAAAAAAAAAGAUAUUGAUGUUGUUCAAUAAAAAGACGGGAAAUAAGUCGGUGAACCAAAAAGUUCAAAUCUAAUUGAAGAUAAAGUGCCAUGAACUCACUGAUCAUGCACGAGUGAUUCUAUUCAUAAAAAGUGUCCGUGUAACAACUAAAAAGGGUCCGUGUAUCGUCUAAAAAGAGUCCGUGUAACACCCGUUCAUGUACUGUUUUUCUAUAGCUCUGCGGGGGGCAAAGUCGUACAAAUACGAAUUAAUGUCUGUUUGAAAUAGUUUAACGGGGGCGUGGCCUAUUAAUUUGACGCAUCUAACCACCAACUUGAUUUCAAUUGAAUGACUGCAGAGAAAUCUAUUUGACUGGCGUUAAAAUGAAUUGAUAUGAAUUGAAAUGAAUUAAAUAUGAUUAGCAAGCAUAUGACGGUGGACUACACUGUAGAAAUUACUUAAAUCGAUAGAUAUAUCGGAUUCAACAGAUAUAUGUAAUGGUAAGAUACACGAUUAACUGUAUGAUCUACUGCAUCAUUCAAACUGCAUUCCUGUACAUUGUACAAAGUCUUUAAUUAAAUAACUUCAAACAAACUGAACUAUCUUGUAUGCUUUGUCAUGCUUCAGUAAUGUAUACAAAUUGAUAAAAAAUGCAGAUUUUUUAAAACGAAGGCAAUGAAAUAUCUCAUAUUAUCCUGUUUAAUUUUCUACUUUCGCUUUCAAUUACUUAAGAAAUGAAAAAGAAAAAAAAAUGGUCAAUUUGAGCAGAAGCAUAAGUUUCCUAAAAUUAAUUGGACCGAUGUAAUAAGAUUUAUUUCUCCAACGCCAAUUUAUCUUAAAAUCAAUUGAUAUGAAUCCUUAUACACUUUAAUGACGACCAUUUAAUUUAUUCCCUUAAUGCGGGGUUCACACAUUGCCGAUUAUUGCUCCCGUUUGAGAUCAGACAGUCGUUUAAGUUCUUAACAUAUUUCUACAGAUAAUGAAUGGUCCGGAUAAUUCGGCGAAGCACGCCGACAGUUAGGUGCGUCCCGUUAAGCUGGGCUCACACAUUCACGAUUUUUACUGCCGUCCUUGACAGGACCAUUCCCGAUUAAAAUUUGUCAAAAGUUUGAUCAAGAUCUUGUGAAUCGUGGAUGGAAAUUCUAACUUUAAUCAACAUUUGUAAAACAAAUAAUUUAAUCACGACAACAAUCAGAUAUUGUUCUGGAAGCGGCGAUAUUCAAACGUUUCAAAGCAAAUUUAUCCCGAUAAUCCCGUUCUCAAUCUGCUUCUAAUCCAAUUUGUAUCUUUCGCCAGGUAAAAUUCGAUCGAGUCUGUCACGACUGCGUCCCGAUUCUACCGAAUGUAAUCCGACAAAGAUCAGACAGUGACCAGACAGUGAUCCGACGCUCACGGAAGUUAUCCGUUCGAAAACUGUCGGCAUACUCGGGAUGAUAAGGUACUGUCGGAACGUAAUCCUAUCAUGGUCCGCUCUAUCGCAUUGCAAACGGCUUUGUCUGGUCUCAGUCGUAUUGUAUUCUGUAAUUGUCGGGACUCUGACGUGGGUAUCAUUGACGAAUUUCGUAUUAUUAACGGGACUGUUCCGGAACGGUUUCGGCAAAAACGGUUCGCAAUCGACAAGAUCUGGAUGCAAUCUGGACUCAAUCGGCAGAAAAACAGCAAUGAAAAAUUUCUCCAGAUCAUUCCCGUUCCAUAGGACACCGUCCAGAAUACACAGAACAUUGUUAGGAUUUUGAUCCGAUACAGCAGAAUCUGUCACGACAUAGGCACGAUCGUUAUCCGACUAGUCAAAAUCGGUUGAGCCUCUUGCUUAUAACUAAAUGUUACAAGUCCCCCUGACAUAGAGUCAACAGACGCAUAAUGUAUAUAUGUUUUGUACAAAUUUAAUGUUGUACAAAUUAUAAUGUGUACACAUGUUUUGUUCAAAUUAUCAAUGUUUUAUGAACCGCUAUACACAAAUGGAUGAUGCAAGCACACAGUAUUUCUUUCCACAUAUAUCUGUCAUAUUUUCAUGACUACAUGAUAUAGUUGAAUACUGAGCAUUGAUACAAACACAUUAGAAGAUCACAAAAAGACUUUUUUUUAGAUAUGAUUGUGGUCUAAAGAGAAAAAUAAAAUUAAAAUUAAAACAAUUCAGUUGUCCUUAUUUCCAGUGUGAGGACAAGGAAAGUAGCACUAAUAAAUGUUAAGCAGGAGUGAAGUCAUUUGAAUUUAACUAAAUCAUUUUAAAAUAUAAAUUGUUAUCACGUAGUGAUAAAAACUUAUAAAUUUUACAAAACCUGUGCAAACUAGUAUUUGAACAAAUUUACAUAUACAACAUAUAUAUGGUUUUUUUUUAUUACUGUGUGGUAUUUUAUGUGUCUUACUAUAUUUCAGAAUUCUUGGUAGUUCAUUGUUUGCGUGUUUGGACAACCUUAUUUUAAUAAAAGAAAAAUGGAACAAAAGGAUUCAUGAUAAACUUGAUUGAAACGUCGACGGUCUUUAUUCU
RNAcentral lists this long non-coding RNA (10325 nucleotides) under Mytilus galloprovincialis (Mediterranean mussel). Lineage: Eukaryota; Metazoa; Mollusca; Bivalvia; Mytilida; Mytilidae. The record is from RNAcentral.